UAACGGCCUACCGAGGCUACGAUGGGUAGCUGGUCUGAGAGGACGAUCAGCCACACUGGGACUGAGACACGGCCCAGACUCCUACGGGAGGCAGCAGUUGGGAAUCUUGCGCAAUGGGCGGAAGCCUGACGCAGCGACGCCGCGUGCGGGAGGAAGGCCUUAGGGUCGUAAACCGCUUUCAGCAGGGACGAAGCUUCCGGGGUUAACAGCCUAUGGGGUGACGGUACCUGAAGAAGAAGCCCCGGCUAACUACGUGCCAGCAGCCGCGGUGAUACGUAGGGGGCAAGCGUUGUCCGGAUUUAUUGGGCGUAAAGAGCGUGUAGGCGGCUGGGAAGGUCCCGCGUAAAAAAACCUCGGCUCAACCGUGGUAUGCGUGGGAAACCACCUCGCUAGAGUCCGGAAGGGGAGAGUGGAAUUCCCGGUGUAGCGGUGAAAUG
Molecule: ribosomal RNA, 437 nt
Filed under: uncultured soil bacterium
Lineage: Bacteria
Description: bacterial SSU rRNA
Rfam family: Bacterial small subunit ribosomal RNA
Source: RNAcentral